RNAcentral lists this ribosomal RNA (76 nucleotides) under Erysimum cheiri. RNAcentral's name for it is "partial 18S ribosomal RNA". RNAcentral also lists the same sequence under 1 other name. The record is from RNAcentral. Lineage: Eukaryota; Viridiplantae; Streptophyta; Magnoliopsida; Brassicales; Brassicaceae.
UCGAUACCUGUUCAAAACAGAACGACCCGUGAACUAACGAUCACUACUCACGGUAAGCCGGGUUCUUAGUCGAUCC